AAUCAACGCUGGCGGCGUGCCUAACACAUGCAAGUCGAACGCGAAAGCCCCGCAAGGGUAAGUAGAGUGGCAAACGGGUGAGUAACACGUGGGUGACCUGCCCUCGAGUGGGGGAUAACGUCCCGAAAGGGACGCUAAUACCGCAUAAUAUGCCGCCUUUUAAGAGGUGGACAUCAAAGCUGGGGAUCGCAAGACCUAGCGCUUGAAGAGGGGCCCGCGCCUGAUUAGCUAGUUGGUGGGGUAANGGCUCACCAAGGCAACGAUCAGUAUCCGGCCUGAGAGGGCGGACGGGACACACUGGGACUGAGACACGGCCCAGACUCCUACGGGAGGCAGCAGUGGGGAAUUGUUCGCAAUGGGCGCAAGCCUGACGACGCAACGCCGCGUGGAGGAUGAAG
RNAcentral lists this ribosomal RNA (398 nucleotides) under uncultured bacterium. Its description in RNAcentral is "bacterial SSU rRNA". It matches the Rfam family "Bacterial small subunit ribosomal RNA", at positions 29 to 413 of the family's 1533-position model. The record is from RNAcentral.